RNAcentral lists this ribosomal RNA (472 nucleotides) under uncultured bacterium. RNAcentral describes it as "bacterial SSU rRNA". It matches the Rfam family "Bacterial small subunit ribosomal RNA", at positions 355 to 825 of the family's 1533-position model. The record is from RNAcentral.
UGGGGAAUUUUGGACAAUGGGCGCAAGCCUGAUCCAGCCAUGCCGCGUGAGUGAAGAAGGCCUUCGGGUUGUAAAGCUCUUUCGGCGGGGACGAAACGGUUCGUGACAACACCACGGACUAAUGACGGUACCCGCAUAAGAAGCACCGGCUAACUACGUGCCAGCAGCCGCGGUAAUACGUAGGGUGCAGGCGUUAAUCGGAAUUACUGGGCGUAAAGGGUGCGCAGGCGGUUUGUUAAGACAGGUGUGAAAUCCCCGGGCUUAACCUGGGAAUUGCGCUUGUAACUGGCAGGCUAGAGUGUGGCAGAGGGGGGUGGAAUUCCACGUGUAGCAGUGAAAUGCGUAGAUAUGUGGAGGAACACCGAUGGCGAAGGCAGCCCCCUGGGUUAACACUGACGCUCAUGCACGAAAGCGUGGGGAGCAAACAGGAUUAGAUACCCAAGUAGUCCCUGAGCGGGCUGGCAAGGCGCAU